RNAcentral lists this signal recognition particle RNA (266 nucleotides) under Ammoniphilus sp. CFH 90114. RNAcentral's name for it is "Bacterial large signal recognition particle RNA". It matches the Rfam family "Bacterial large signal recognition particle RNA". Rfam says of the family: The signal recognition particle (SRP) is a universally conserved ribonucleoprotein involved in the co-translational targeting of proteins to membranes. Archaeal SRP consists of a 7S RNA and homologues of the eukaryotic SRP19 and SRP54 proteins. The record is from Rfam by way of RNAcentral. Lineage: Bacteria; Bacillati; Bacillota; Bacilli; Caryophanales; Paenibacillaceae.
UCGUGCUAGAUGGGGAGAUGGCGGUGCCCUGUAACCCGCAAUCCGCCUUAGCGGGGUUGAAUUCCCAUUGAAGGUGCGCUUCAUGUAAGGUCUGCCUUAUGCAAGUGGUGUUGACAACUGGGUCCUGCGCAACAGGAACCCAUGAACCUGGUCAGGUCCGGAAGGAAGCAGCCAUAAGUGGAUCAUUCUGUGUGCCGCAGGGUAGCCUGGUUCGAGCUAACUACAUGAGUAACGCUUGGUUGGUCGUAUCGACAAUGGGUGCACGG